CCUACGGGUGGCACCAGUGGGGAAUAUUGCACAAUGGGGGAAACCCUGAUGCAGCAACGCCGCGUGGAGGAUGACGCAUUUCGGUGUGUAAACUCCUUUUAUAAGGGAAGAUAAUGACGGUACCUUAUGAAUAAGCACCGGCUAACUCCGUGCCAGCAGCCGCGGUAAUACGGAGGGUGCAAGCGUUACUCGGAAUCACUGGGCGUAAAGGAUGCGUAGGCUGUAAUAUAAGUCAGAAGUGAAAUCCAACGGCUUAACCGUUGAACUGCUUUUGAAACUGUUUUACUAGAAUAUGGGAGAGGUAGAUGGAAUUGGUGGUGUAGGGGUAAAAUCCGUAGAUAUCACCAGGAAUACCGAUUGCGAAGGCGAUCUACUGGAACAUUAUUGACGCUGAGGCAUGAAAGCGUGGGGAGCAAACAGGAUUAGAUACCCUAGUAGUC
This 440-nucleotide ribosomal RNA is filed under the name uncultured bacterium. Its description in RNAcentral is "bacterial SSU rRNA". It matches the Rfam family "Bacterial small subunit ribosomal RNA", at positions 338 to 795 of the family's 1533-position model. The record is from RNAcentral.